Molecule: small RNA, 644 nt
Filed under: Pongo abelii (Sumatran orangutan)
Lineage: Eukaryota; Metazoa; Chordata; Mammalia; Primates; Hominidae
Description: processed transcript
Source: RNAcentral
GACCGCGCCCCCUGGGUCCCCUACCUGAGUGUCGUGGGCAUUCUGGCCAUCAUCGCCUCUUUCUGCAGUGGGCCAGGUGGCAUUCCGUUCAUCUUGACUGGUGAGUUCUUCCAGCAAUCUCAGCGGCCGGCUGCCUUCAUCAUCGCAGGCACCGUCAACUGGCUCUCCAACUUUGCUGUUGGGCUCCUCUUCCCAUUCAUUCAGAAAAGUCUGGACACCUACUGUUUCCUAGUCUUUGCUACAAUUUGUAUCACAGGUGCUAUCUACCUAUAUUUUGUGCUGCCUGAGACCAAAAACAGAACCUAUGCAGAAAUCAGCCAGGCAUUUUCCAAAAGGAACAAAGCAUACCCACCAGAAGAGAAAAUUGACUCAGCUGUCACUGAUGCUCCUGCUUCUUCUCCUUUCACUACUCCACAUACAGCCUGGAUUCAAGCUGCCGCCACCACCAUUGCCACCAAAAAAGAACACCCAUUGUAAACAGUCAUGUGGUACUUCCUCAACCUGGAAUGACCUUCCCCUAUCCUCUUCUCCUGGAGAACACCAAGUCAUGAAGUCAGACAAGAGCUUGGAUUUUGGAGACACGGGUUUGAAUUCCAGUCAUUCAUUCUUUUAUUCAGCAAAUAUUUAACAAGUACUGACAUGUC